Molecule: long non-coding RNA, 1105 nt
Filed under: Dromaius novaehollandiae (emu)
Lineage: Eukaryota; Metazoa; Chordata; Aves; Casuariiformes; Dromaiidae
Description: lncRNA (ENSDNVG00000005231.1)
Source: RNAcentral
NNNNNNNNNNNNNNGAAAGAAAAAGGAAAAAAACGGGGGGAAAAAAGGGAAAAAAAGAAAAAAAGGAAAAAACCCUACAGCCCCCCCCCCCCACGCCUCCCCCGCUCCGGAAAAAUAAUAAUAAAGGCAGAUGAAUAGGGAGGCUCGCGGUGCGGAGCCGCGGCCGCCGCUCAGGCAGGCAGCCACCCGUGCGCGGCCGCUCCCCCGCCCCCGGCUGCUCUGGCAGCGGCAGGACGGCAGCGGCGGCUCGGCGCGGAGGCCCCGCUCAUCACAGCGCGCCGCCCGCCCGCUCCCGCCGCCUCCCCGCCGCAGCGGAGCGCGGUCCCCGCACGCACACGCUGCACACAUACACUGCACACACGCAGUGCAUGCACACGCUGCAUGCACACACACACACUGCAUGCACACACACACACACACACACACGCUGCAUGCAUGCACACACGCUGCAGCUCGGCGGCGCACGGCCCUACCUCGCACACCGCCGCGCCGCUCGCCCGGGCAAAAACAUCCAGCGCAUCCCCUCCCCCCUUCCCCAGGGCCGCCGUGUCACUCAACCCGGGGCAGGCAGCCAGGCCCCCUUGCACACACACGCGCACACACACGCACACGCACACGCGCGGCGUGGUGGGGGCGGGCAGCCGCAGGCCGCAACAAAAGCCCCACGCUGCGGCUCGCACACAGCCCCCCUCGGGCGGGUGCAGGGAUCCCCCCGGCCCCGGUUUAUUUCGCGAAGUUGCUGCUGGUUUGUUUUGUGUGCAUUGCCCCCCGCCCCCAGCACACCCCCCCGCACACCCUUUCGGCAGCCGGGCGAGCGACCCCCGGCGGGGGUGUCACUGUGCCCGGGGACACCGCUGCGCCCGGACGCAGCCUCCUCGCCCUGCUCCUUUUUUCCUUUUUUUCUUUUUUUUCUUUCUUUCUUUUCUUGUGUGUGUGUGUGUGCGUGUGCGUGUGCGCGUUGUUUCGCUUUGCAAAACCCUUCCCAAACCGAGCCCGCCACCCCCUCGGGGCAACCCCGGCGGCCCUGCCCUCCGCCCGCCCUUCCGUGCCGCCGCGGAGGGCAGCCCGCCCCCCCGCGCCCCGCCGCGGAGGGCUCUGUACCUUC